RNAcentral lists this long non-coding RNA (214 nucleotides) under Phoenix dactylifera (date palm). Its description in RNAcentral is "long non-coding RNA (PDAC_LNC016024)". The record is from RNAcentral. Lineage: Eukaryota; Viridiplantae; Streptophyta; Magnoliopsida; Arecales; Arecaceae.
GUAUAAACAUCUAUCUACAUUAUACUAUACUAUGGAGCGGCACAGCUAGCAGGCAAUCUCUAACCCUGCUCUUCUCUAUACAAUACCUGCCCUGCAAUCAAAAACACCAAACUGGGGAGUGAAUAUAUGAAUACUCAGUGAGUGGAGUAGAGAGUACUAUGCACAUGAGACCAGAUAUAAUCAUGGCUCGAGGUGAAAUCUCAAGAGCAUAUGA